This 70-nucleotide transfer RNA is filed under the name Euborellia arcanum. RNAcentral describes it as "tRNA-Leu". The record is from RNAcentral. Lineage: Eukaryota; Metazoa; Arthropoda; Insecta; Dermaptera; Anisolabididae.
AAUACUUUGGCAGAAAAGUGCAAUAAAUUUAGAAUUUACAUAUAUGUAAUACAUCUUUACAUAAGUAUUA